Molecule: ribosomal RNA, 170 nt
Filed under: Clostridioides difficile
Lineage: Bacteria; Bacillati; Bacillota; Clostridia; Peptostreptococcales; Peptostreptococcaceae
Description: partial 23S ribosomal RNA
Rfam family: Bacterial large subunit ribosomal RNA
Source: RNAcentral
GGUCAAGUUAUUAAGGGUGCAGGGCGGAUGCCUUGGCACUAGGAGCCGAUGAAGGACGUGAUAAGCUGCGAUAAGCUUCGGGGAGUUGCACGUAAACUUUGAUCCGAAGAUUUCCGAAUGAGGAAACUCACUUAGAGUAAUGUCUAAGUAUCAUUAAGUGAAUACAUAGC